UUUUUCGAUUCUUUGAACGAUUUGUUGUUAAUUAAUUUUUUUACCUAAAUCAGACCUAUCUAACUCGAAUCGAUUUAGUGAUCGAUUCUUAGUUAAUCAUAUUGAACAGGUCGGUUUGUCUUAUAACUAUGCUCAAAAGAGAAAAAACAUAUUAAAUUUGUUCGUAAGCCUUUCACGCAAUCACCUUGAUCUGAUAUAUUCAUGGAAAUAAUCUCUUGUAUGUUGUAUUCCACUAAGAAAUAAAAAUGGAACCUUCGACCACGAAUUAACAAUCACCUUUUUACUAGUUUAUUUCAAUGCAAAUCAUCUUAGGUAGCCUGCCUAAGUGCCUAACAGAACUAGAACUAUUCUGUUUUAUCAUGUAAAAAUAUUAUAUUCCCACUAAACUAGAAAGCAAUACUACUUUAAUAAUGUUUCACCCUUUGACUAUGACAAACGCAUUAUUUCGAUUUCGUUCUCCCUUAUUUUGUUUUUUACCGUUGAUUAUGGUGUAAUGCCAUUGCAAAAAAGUUCUUCAAUGUAUAAUUAUAUAUAUCUUAAAUUUAUUCUUUUCAUGUUACAUAAAAUCCUUUAUAAAAUAAGAGUCGAACCCACAAAUCUAAACCAAAAGAAACACAAAACAAUUAACCUCUAUAACCACAUUUAUCUCUUACUCCAUAUCUGAUCGUUCAAGAAAGAAAGCAUGUGAUUCUAAUAGAUAUAUCAUAUAUUCAUUUUACUUUUUUUAUUUAUUUAUUUUGGGUAUAUAACUGUUUCGAGACUUACCUAGAAUCGAAUGGUGGUUGGGCUUGUUUGUGAGGUCCAAGCACUAGAGGAGGGUGGUCUCCAACUUGGUUUACGUCUGGGAGCUGCCGUCCGAGUUGUGUAUGUGAAAGAAUGGGGAGUGAUACUUGCAAAGACACUUCGAUGCCUAAGUCAGCAUGGGGUUAAGCAAGUUUAGAAUGUAUUGGAACUUAGAGAUACCUGAGGGGUAUCAGUGUAUUUAUAGUGAUGAUCCAAUAACCACCGUUGGAGUAGUUCCACUUCUAAAGGUGGAUUACCGUCCCUUUAUCUUAGGGUUGUUGAGAUGUGGCUUCUAGAAGUGGAUUGAGAGAUUUUAGAGGCAGUUACUUACUUGAAUAAGUGCUAUCUGCCAGCUAUCCCUUGAGCCCGCCUUCUUAGGGAGGAAAUCUAUGUUGAGUCCGACCUCUUCUGAAGAGGUCGGUGGAUAACAAAGGCCAAUCUUUAGAUUGGCAUUUUGGUGUAUUUGGACCUGAGCCAUAGUGUUGGGGCAGGUAGGAACAGUGCCCCUACUCGAGUCCGAUCUCUUUUGCUUAUGAGAUCGGACUCGAGUAUUGAACUUGGGUCUGUAGCCGACGUGAUUUUUAAAACUGACGUGAUUUUAAAUUUCUUAACCGUCAAGUAUAAUCAAACGUCACAUCCGUUGGGGUUUUCGCAUUUACACAUGGGAGCAGUUACAUUGGUAACGACGCGUUUCUUUAAUGAUCGCGUCAAUUUACCCUUAUGCCCCUGACGUGUUAUAAAUACUUUUCCCUCUCUUUAAACGACUUAUUUUUGCCAAGUCUUUUUUCUAGAACUGAUUUGUACAACUCGUUCUUUCCGAGUUAUUUAAGGCUUGUAGGCUCUGUAUGAUUGGUUUUAGCACAUCUUGCUUAACCAAAGAAUAUUUCUUGUCCUAGUUUUGUAUAACUGGUUCAGUUUGAGUUGUUUUGAGGAUACAUGACUUGUUUUAAUACAAAUCACCUUUCUGAAACUUAUUCCGAUUUCUUACGACUUGUUUUGAUACAAAUCAUUUAUUUCAAAACUCGUAAUUAUUUCUGAGUAUAACCUCAUCUAGCUCGUUUGAUGCGAGUAGUUUUAAGGUCUUACGAUUUGUUUCAUUUCAAAUCGUUUAAUUAAAACGUGGCUAUUUCUUGAUCUAAUUUCAUACAACUCAUUUAAAUUCGAGCUGUUUUUAGGACUUCACACCUUGUUUCAAGUACAACUUGUUUAUUUUGAGUCCUUUUAAAGUAUCAGAUCAUCUUUAUAACCAUCGGACUUCGUUGCUUUAUCCAUUGUGCCCCUGCUCGAGGUUGAGCUUUAUGAAGUCGGACUCGAGUAGUCAAGCAGAAAGGAUUUUCGAAUGAAGCCUUUCAAUGAUUUGUUCAACUCGUUCAUUCCGAGUUAGGUGACUUGUUUUUUAUACAAGUAACUCUUUUGAAGCACAACUAGUUAUAUAUCAAGUUGUUUUGCGCGAUUUGUUUUAAUACAAAUUGCUUAAAUCAUAUGGUUAUUUUUUACUCGAUUUUGUUCAACUCAUGAGCUUGAGUUGUUUUAAAUCAUCAAGCUGUAUUAUAACCAUUGGACACCAAUUUGUACCUCGUCGCUUUAUCCGAGCGACCAUUGAUAAGGUCAGCUCGUGAUUUUUGCAUUUUGUCGAGCAUAAAUUGGCGCCUUAGGUGAAGGGAUUAUAUGCUUAUUCCCUCCCCUUUCUAGUUUUUACAAGGUUGUCAUCCUUGCAUAUGAUACAACUCGUUUUACCCAAGUCGUUUUAGAGGAUAGUUUUUACGUUUCGAUUUUGUUCAAAAUCGUUUGCAAUCCUUUCUUUCCUUUUUAACUCGUUUCUAUACGAGUCAUUUGGUUAAAGGAUUUUUGUUUUGAUUUUACUUUAGUGAUUCAUUUUGAUACAAAUCACUUUUUAAUGCUUUGCUUUAAUGAUUUGUUUUGAUACAAAUCACUUUUAAAGCUUUGCUUUUAAAUAAAAACGACUUGUGCUUGACACAAUUUCGUUGAAAAUAUGGUUGACUGGCACAACUUGUUUAAUCCGAGUUGUCCUUAUGUUGUUGUGAAUGCUAGAACAAGUUUUCUUUGAACAACUUGUUUUUGUGAAAUUGUUCCAUUUUAUACGACUAGGUCGUUUAUUUUUAGAACUUGUAGAGAUGAGAUCGUGGGCUUGAGAUUUUGUACGAUUCAUUUGUUACCCAUGUGGGUCGAGUUGUUAAAUCGUAUUUAUACCUUGAGGGGUAUAUUUAGUUAAGUUACUUUUGCGACUUGUUCUAAACACAACUUUUUCAACCCGUUUAGCCUGAGCUGUUUCGAGGUAUUUUCUUUCCAAUUUGCGUAUGUAACUUCUUUCCACCAAUUGGUUCCUCGUCGCUUCAUCCAGGAGAUUUCUAUAUGAUCGGCCCGUGAUUUUCGCGGUUUAUCGAGCUUCUAUUGGUGUGUGUUAAUUGUAGAAAAUCAAUUUUCAUAAGGAAUUGUUUUAUCUCCUUAUGUUGGAGGUGUGUCGCGACCUGGGUAGUUCGUCACCUUUGAGGUCGGACACUUUGUAGUAGCCAUUUUCUAAGAUUUCAGUAAUCUUGUAGGGUCUUAUCCAGUUUGCUGUCAGUUUUUCUUCGCCCGACCUCUGUAACCUGAUAUUAUGUCUUAUCAGGAUGAGGUCAUUUAUGGCGAAUCUUGUAGCCAUCUUUUGUCUCAAAAUCUCUUUUCUUAUCCGAUUUUGCUCUCGAAUUUCUGAAAGGAGGUUGAGUUUGGUUUUCCUUUAUUUAUAUCAAUGGGAAUUAUGGCUUCUGUGCCAUAUGCAUGAAUAGUACCCCUACUCGAGGUCGAGCUUCAUGAAGUCAGAUUCGAGCAUUUAGUCAUGUCAUUCUUGAAUCUUACUAUUUGUUGCUAUGUGAUUUUUACAAGUUAUUUUGGACUCUCUUUCUGGAAAGUCGGAUAACUUGUUUUAUACUUGUUGUGUCAACCUAGUAAGGGGUCGAAUACUUAUCUCUUGGCUUGAGGAGGCAUUCUUACAAAUCACUAUCCUUUUUCAAUUUGUUUUAAACAAAUUGUUGUGAGGUUGGGUUUACAUUUUCUUUGUGUUGAUGUUUGAUUAUCAUCACGCUUUCCUCAAAUUAUUUUUGCGAUUCGUUUUAAGUUUGCCCCCUUGCCAGCUUGUUUUAAUACAAGUGGCUUAAUGAGGUCGGACUACAAUUUGUAUUUAUAACUUCUUACACCACUUUAGAUCUUGUCACUUCAAGUCAGAAAAAAGUGUGCAUUAGGAAGUAAGGUUCGCUUUCUAGCUGUAGUAUCCCUUUUGUUGUAGACAUGGCACAAUCUAGGUAGAUUGUUUUUGAGAAAAUUGGAUAUGUUGUAGUAGUUUUUUUCCAAGUCUUAAGUGACUUUGUUGGGAUCUUUUCAUUUUGGUGUUCACAUUUCUUCGUCCGAUUUUGGCCCGAUGUCAUUUUGGAUCAAGACGAGGUUGCCAGUUGAGAAAUUUUUUUGUAUGAUCUCUUUAUGGCCAUUUAUACUUGGGAGCUGGCUCUUGAAGUCAUACCUUGAGAAAGAGGUCGAACUUUUCUUUGUAAGCUCUUAAAGAGAUCGGAUUUUUAUUUGUAGACUUGAAUCCUCAGAAGAGGUCAGAUUAUCUUCGUAAGCUUGGAUCCUUAGAAGGUGUCAGAUUUUUCUUUUUAAGCUUUGGAAAGAGGUCAAAUUUUUUUUCUAAGCUUGGAGGUUUUCGACCUCAUUGUAGACUCUGAUCUUUAAAAGAAGUCGGAAUUUUUUUCUGGUAAUCUUCGAGGUUUUCGACCUCAUUGUAGACUUGAUUAUGAAAGAGGUCGGAUUUUUUCACAAACUCCAAAAAGAGGUCGAAUUUUUUCUUUGUCAGAUCUAAAAGAAGUCGAAUUUUUCUUUAUCAGCUUGGAGGUUUUUGACCUCAUUGUAGAGUUUGACUUUUAAAAGAGUUCAGACUUUUCUGUAUGAGCUCUGAAAGAGGUCAGAAUAUCCUUUGUAAGCUUGGAACUUUUCGACCUCAUUGAAGAGUCUAACCUUUAAAAGAGGUCGGACUUUUCUCUGUGAGGUCGGAAUUUGUACAAUAUUUCCCGAUCUGAAGACUUGUUUGAAAUUGCUGAGAUGGCUAUAUGGAUCAGUAGGUCUAUCAUAGGAAUCUACGUUGGGAUGUUGGAAAUUUCUUGGAACCUUUGCACGCAUGACCUCUUUAGAGAAAAGAUCGUCUCCUCCAAUGAAGACUAAGUCUUUGUCAUCCUGACUUUCUUUUUUCCUUGGCUUGGAUUCUAGUUUUCUUGGUUUAUCUUUAAUCUCUCUUUUGUUGUGAAGCUCUUUUCGGAGUUGGCUCUCGAUUCUCUUCGUCAUUCUAACCCGUUAAGGGAUCUCCAAUUUUUUUUGUAGAUUCUGCCAUUAAGUCUUUAAUCAGACUAGUUGCUUCUUUUGCUGGAGUAGUAGGACUUUUGUUUAUUCUCUUUUUUUUUUCACGUAUCUUCUUUUGCCAAUUGAAUUUUCUGAGUUGAAAAUUCUUUUAUUCAGUUGGCUUUCGAGUUCGUCUUGGUUUGCUUUCUACAAUGACCUUGGGACGGUGCUUUCUUCUCCUUUGUUUUGGUUGUGGUGUGCUUUCUUUCUAAAUUUCAUCCAUCUUGAUUGGUGUGCAAACAACAUCAAAUUCUACCACAUGAUUAUUUCUUUCUAUAUUCAUUGGCAGUGAUGUAAUUUGUGAGCAACCAACGAAGGAUGUGCCAUGAAAAUUUUUCGUGUUAUUUAUGGCUCUGUUGUAAUUGAUAUGUGAAUCCAAUGAAGAAAAAAUUGGAUUCAUCAAUCCAUUGUCGGAUUGGGUUGCAUUCAAAUUGGCUGAUGCCGUAUUUUUUAGCAUAAAUUGGGAAGAAAGAUUUCAUUAUUUUUUAUCAAUAAUAUUUUCCAUUCCUUCUUCAAUUACUGACCAAUAUGAGACAUUUUAUUUAUUGAUAAAACCUAUGUAUUUGAAACAUACAAGUGCUCCAUUACCAUGAGUGGGUAUCAUGAUUCUUUCCGAGGUUGUAAGUCGGCACAGAUGUCAUUGUCCAUUCUUUUCCACGAAGAGAUUGUGAUCAGUCACGUACCAUUUUCUCCCUCUUUUUUCUUUUUUUUUUUUUUUGAAAACGGUGACGAAUUUGCAGUUUCCAAUCCACCAUGGUUGGUGUCUAUGAGUGCAUUAUCUUUGUUUCUACCGUUUGAUAUAUUUAAUCCAAUUUAACUGUGGAAGUAGAAUCAUCAUCCCUAUUUGAUAUCCUCUGCCCAUUGGGAGAAAUUUUUACAGAUUUCUGGUAUCCAUAGAAAUUGUAUUCCAGCUUUUUUUUAACAUGCUUGCAUCUAAUUCAUGUCGAGUGGUUGUCUGACUAUCUUGUUGAUCAUUUGCCAUUAUCAAGGGUUGAGCUCCAGGUCCCCGGCAACGGUGCCAAUGUUCCGGGGCUUACCUAAAACCGGAUGGUGGUUGGGCUUGUUUGUGAGGCCCAAGCACUAGAGGAGGGUGGUCUCCGACUUGGUUUACGUCUGGGAGCCGCCGUUCGAGUUGUGUAUGUGAAAGAAUGGGGGUGGUACCUGCAAAGACACUCCGAUGCCUAAGUCAGCAUGGGGUUAAGCAGGUUUAGAAUGCAUUGGAAGAGAUACCUGAGGGGUGUCAGUGUAUUUAUAGUGGUGAUCCAAUAACCACCGUUGGAGUAGUUCCACUUCUGAAGGUGGAUAACCGUCCAUUUAUCUUAGGAUUGUUGAGAUGUGGCUUCUAGAAGUGGGUUGAGAGAUUUUAGGGGCAGUUACUUACUUGAAUAAGUGCUAUCUGCCAGCUAUCCCUUGAGCCCGACUUCUUAGGGAGGAAAUCUGUGUUGAGUCCGACCUCUUCUGAAGAGGUCGGUGGAUAACGAAGACCAAUCUUUGGAUUGGGUCUUUUGGUGUAUUUGGACUUGGGUCAUAGUGUUGGGUCAGGAUAGAAACAAUAACUAUAUAUCACAUUCAUUAUUUUAACUUUUUAAGUAUCUAACCUUUUUUUUGGGUUAGUGACUUUUUAAGUGUCUUGUCAGUACGGCGGCGUUUGGUUAUGAAAACGCACAAGACAAGACAUUGAGAACAAAAUAUAAAUGACAGAGAUACAAAAAUUAGUAUUUUUGUAUUUUGUUUAAUGAUAAACUAAAAUAGAUUAUAAAAGUCUAAUUUAUUCUCAUUUUUUAAUUUAAAAAUUUAGAAAGAAAAAUAUAAUAAUAAAAGUAUAAUUAUGAAAAAUUAAUAAGUAAUAAAAAAAUAAAUUGUAUUCUUCAUUAAUAUCUCAAUAUCCUUUCUAUCAAGAUAUAGACACAAAAUACAUUAAUUUAAUAUCUUUAGAUAUAUUCAUAUCUCAUCUACUAAAUAUAAUUUUGUGUUUUUAUGUCUUUAAUAUCCUGCCCUUAAAAAUAAAUACAACUUAAGGGAUUUUCUUUUUUUAACAGUUUUAUCAGAAGAGGUAGAGUUUAAAUAAUUAGAGAUGCGGGUUUAUCCUUAUAUUCAUACUAAUUAUGUGUUUAAUUUAAGGCCCACUUCGGGAAAGGUCCAUAUAAUUCAGAAGUCAGGCAAUAUAUAUAGGCCAUUUUUGUUAAAGCAAUUCCCAGAAUGAACCCAAAAAAAAGACGCAAUCAACAGAUAUUAUUGCCGUGUAAGCCUUUAGUAUAAUUCUAACCCAAAAGAAAAAAGGAAAAAAAAUCUUUAGCGCAAUUGAUACAUAAGGUGACUUUUAUCCUUGUCCAAAAAAGAAAAACUGACUUUUGUUAAAAUCACAAGUUCGAAUUUCGUUCUGUUAAAAAAAAAAAAAAAGUUCCAAUUUCGUUCUGACGGAAAAAUUUUGCUCUUAGAUAUUCCCAUUUUUUAUAUGGAAUCGCAAAUAAUUUUUAUCCUAAUAUUUUUAUGAAAUGUACUUAAAUCACAAGAAUAUAUAUAAUUAGAAGUUGAUAGUUAAAAAUCGUUAAAUAAUAAUUUGACUAAAUUUUUAUUUAACAAUUUUUAAUUAUUAAUUUUAUGUAAAAUUUACUGCAUAUGAAUUUUUAUAGUUAGAUAAAAAAAACCAUGGUAAGAUAACAUUAAACGGAUUAAUUAGGGGCACUUAAGAUGAACUCGAAGCUCACAGAGGCCAUGGCAAGAAAUAACCCUAAGCGUGCUUAGUGCUUCCACAUAAUAGCGUCAUUUUCAAUAUUCUUUUUAUGCAAUUAGAAAUAAGGAGUAUGCCCAAAGUGACAUAGAUAGCAUACAGUGCUUAUUAAAGAACGAAUGGUCUCAAAUUUUGUACAAGGUUAUAUCAUACGAUAGUCCUCAAAGAGUGUGCGUGAGCUAGAAUGUUCAAGAUUGGAGUCCACGUGGCUACUCCUGACACUCAAAAACUUGAUGAUGUCAGAUCAUGACAUGGCACACCAACUUGACCCUGGCAACCACAAAUUUGAUGCUACUACUAUUACUAUAAAGUGAAUAUUAUAAUGAAAAUGGUAAAAAUAUUUUUUUACGAAGAUGUUUUGGUUAAAAGUGUGGUUUAUUUAUUUAGCUACACUUUAAAUAAAAAUAAUAUUUUUAUAAAUAUUAAAAUCUAACCAUACAAUCUAUCAUCUAAAAAUAAAAAAAAAAAUAUAUUCACAUAAAAAUAAUUAUAAAAUUUUCACUGUAGUAUCCACCUUACUAUAAUAUUAUAGUUGAUGUUUUAUAUAUCCAUUUGUAGCCAUUUAUAUUUUAUUUUGAUUUGUGCACUCCGUUGUGUACUCUCGUCUAAAUUCAUUGUUCUACUUCUAUCACACUAUCUUGUACUGACUUCCUUCAAUGUUCCAGUGACUUCACAAUUUAGAUAAUUACGGAAAUGAUUACAAGAAGAAUAAUCAAGUAUUUCUAAGAUAUAAUAUAUCAAAAUUGUCCAAGAUUUGGAAAUAAUAUCUUUAGUUGAUAUGAAACUCUAAUAGAAUGCAUGUGCAAUUUAUUUGUGUUUUAUGUAUUAUUUAUGACUAUCAUUAUUUAAAUUGUUUUGCUCAUAACUAUUUUUAAAAUAAUGGGCAAGAAUACUUUCUAGUUUCUACAGAUAAUGUGGGUCAAUUCUUCAAUUUUUUUAUACAUUAAAAAAAUAAUAUAUAGAUAACAAAAAUAAUCACUAAAUUAAAUAUUUUGUAUUAUGUAUAUUUUAAACAUAUUAUUUUUUAUAUAUAUUUUAAUUAAAUAUUGAAAAAGUCUAGAAAGCCAGCACUUUUAUUAAAAUUUGACCAGCACUUAAUUAGCAAAAGAAAAGUAAGUAAUUCCACAUCAUUAGAUAUAAUCUCACACCAUUAAAAAUACUAAUAAUGACUAAUUAAUGACAUUAUUAAAAAAAUUAAUAAUAACUAAUUGAUAAUUACAAAUUACAAAAUUUGGUAUCCCCUAAUACUCCAAUAAUCAUUAUGCAUAUAUUAAAAGAAAACGUUUAGGGAGCAGCAACUUUAUUAAAUUCUGACCAGCAUGUAACCAGCAAAGAAAAGUGAGCUAUUGGAUGAAAUCCCACACCAAUCUCACACCAUUAAAACUAUUAUUAAUGAUUAUUUGAUGACUACAAAUCACAAAAAUUACUGGCCUUAACAUUCCUCGUAUUAAAAUUAACAACACAUAUAUCCUAAAUACAUUGAUUUAGUAUUAAUUUUUUUUAAAUAUAGCAAUUUCUAUAAAGCAUUCUAAAAAAAACUAUUAUUGAAAAGAUUUUCCUUUUUUAUAUUCUUAAACGAUAUCCUUUGAAAUCCUUAUUUGAAUCUGUUUGCUUGAUAUUCGGUGAAUGGCAAAAAUUAGAGUUUACUGCAUAAGAAUCUGCAUUGAAUAUUGGGAUCCCCAGGCAAUUCUAGCGCUUUCCACCCACGGGUUGCCCUUUCCAGAAACUUCCCAUAACGUACCCUUCACCGUCAGAUCACUUUCCUGUAACACGUGGACGAACCAGAUCACAGGAUCGUCCAAAAUUGCAUGAUCAAACAAACACGAAUAAAAAUACCCCCACCUCCUCCUCCUUCCUUUCUUUAUAUAUACACACACACAUAUAGCAAUAACCGCGCUCUAUUGUCGAGAAUCACCAACAUAGCAUUCAGUAAAACAAUCACGCUACCAAACAAAGCCUAAUUCCCUUCCUUUCUUUUUCUUCACCAUCAACUAUGGCACCUCCUGAGCUUGUUCCAACCGCCGCUGCUGCUUCCGCCUUCACCGCGAAAACUGCCACCACACUCCCCAGGCGAGCCUACGUCACUUUCCUCGCCGGAAAUGGUGACUACGUCAAAGGUGUUGUUGGACUGGCCAAAGGCCUCCGCAAGGUCAAGUCAGCUUACCCUCUGGUGGUGGCGAUCCUCCCCGACGUGCCGGAGGAGCACCGUCAGAUACUUGAGUCACAAGGUUGUAUAGUUCGCGAGAUCGAACCGGUUUACCCUCCUGAGAACCAGACUCAGUUCGCCAUGGCCUAUUAUGUCAUCAACUACUCCAAGCUCCGUAUCUGGGAGGUAUGUAAGGGAAAUGUUCGCUUAUUGUUUUUUGUCAUAUAAUAAUUUAGUUGUGUAUCAUUUUUUUUUUACGAAAACCUCUUUGUUAUGGUGUAGUUUGUGGAGUACAGUAAGAUGAUAUACUUGGAUGGAGACAUUGAGGUAUAUGAGAACAUAGAUCACUUGUUUGAUCUUCCAGAUGGAAAGUUCUACGCUGUAAUGGAUUGCUUCUGCGAGAAGACAUGGAGUCACAGCCCUCAAUACAAGAUCGGUUACUGCCAGCAGUGCCCUGACAAGGUGCAAUGGCCUGAAGAGUUGGGUCAACCACCGUCCCUGUACUUCAACGCUGGCAUGUUCGUGUUUGAGCCAUCCAUGGAAACUUACCACGACCUUCUCAGAAAACUCCAGAUCACACCUCCUACUCCCUUUGCGGAGCAGGAUUUCCUCAACAUGUAUUUCAAGGACAUUUACCAGCCCAUUCCCUUGGUUUAUAACCUUGUUCUCGCCAUGCUCUGGCGCCACCCUGAAAAUGUUGACCUUGAUAAAGUCAAAGUUGUUCACUACUGUGCAGCGGUAUGUUGUAUUAACUCAUUCAACUUCAAUUCGUUUAACUGUUAUUAACAGUGAAAUAUUGGUUGAUUGAAUUAUUGAUUAAAGAUGGUGGGGUUAUGUAUUCAGGGAUCCAAACCAUGGAGGUAUACGGGAAAGGAAGAAAAUAUGCAGAGGGAGGACAUAAAGAUGUUGGUGAAGAAAUGGUGGGAUGUCUAUUAUGAUGCAUCCCUUGAUUACAAGAAACCGCCGCUAUCCAGUGACGAAGCUGAUCCAUUCGUGCAUGUACUUUCUGAGGCU
This 11057-nucleotide long non-coding RNA is filed under the name Arachis ipaensis. RNAcentral describes it as "long non-coding RNA (AIPA_LNC001414)". The record is from RNAcentral. Lineage: Eukaryota; Viridiplantae; Streptophyta; Magnoliopsida; Fabales; Fabaceae.